Long non-coding RNA from Gavialis gangeticus (Gharial), 435 nucleotides. RefSeq lists it as uncharacterized. The transcript has 3 exons. NCBI's taxonomy places the organism in Eukaryota, Metazoa, Chordata, Crocodylia, Gavialidae. The record is from RefSeq and is a predicted model, not a curated record.
GGCACUUGUGGCUUCACUGCUUAUGGCUGAGGACAGCAGGGAAGGCAAUUGGGGAUCAUGUCCUCUGCAUGCCCCAGCAACUACUUGCAGGUAUCCUCUUUUUUGAUACUGGCAAUAUGGUAACCCUACCCAGGCUCAAAUCCCAGGGGGGGCCUGAAAGUGAGCAGAAAGGAAGUAUUAUCCCCAUUUUACAGUUGAGAAACAAACACCAAAAAUAAUGCACAGUGGAACAUUUACCUAGCUUCAUGAUUCUCAGACUGGAGUACAUCACCUUGGGGCACAUACAGCACCAUAUAAAUAAAGCAUAUUCUUAUCCUAGUUAAAGUUCUUUGCAUUUCUACCUUAAAGGGACAUUUGAUUAUAGUCCAAUCACACAACUCUCUAAUUUUCCAGCAACAGUGCUAUAUGCUGCUAUAUCUAGUACCUUUCCAAAAA